This is a non-coding RNA of Acanthosepion pharaonis, 95 nucleotides long. The record is from the annotation of a GenBank genome assembly. Lineage: Eukaryota; Metazoa; Mollusca; Cephalopoda; Sepiida; Sepiidae.
GUUGAAACACUAGUUCCCUGUAUGAUCACCAAAGUUAAGCAACGUUGAGCCUGGUCAGUACCUAGAUAGGUGACCACUUUGAAAUACCAGGUACU